AAUAGAUACCCGGGUAGUCCACCCCGUAAACGUUGGGAACUAGUUGUGGGGUCCUUUCCACGGAUUCCGUGACGCAGCUAACGCAUUAAGUUCCCCGCCUGGGGAGUACGGCCGCAAGGCUAAAACUCAAAGGAAUUGACGGGGACCCGCACAAGCGGCGGAGCAUGCGGAUUAAUUCGAUGCAACGCGAAGAACCUUACCAAGGCUUGACAUACACCAGAACACCCUGGAAACAGGGGACUCUUUGGACACUGGUGAACAGGUGGUGCAUGGUUGUCGUCAGCUCGUGUCGUGAGAUGUUGGGUUAAGUCCCGCAACGAGCGCAACCCUCGUUCUAUGUUGCCAGCACGUUAUGGUGGGAACUCAUGGGAUACUGCCGGGGUCAACUCGGAGGAAGGUGGGGAUGACGUCAAAUCAUCAUGCCCCUUAUGUCUUGGACUUCACGCAUGCUACAAUGGCCGGUACAAUGGGCUGCGAUACCGUAAGGUGGAGCGAAUCCCAAAAGCCGGUCCCAGUUCGGAUUGAGGUCUGCAACUCGACCUCA
RNAcentral lists this ribosomal RNA (544 nucleotides) under uncultured bacterium. Its description in RNAcentral is "bacterial SSU rRNA". It matches the Rfam family "Bacterial small subunit ribosomal RNA", at positions 777 to 1320 of the family's 1533-position model. The record is from RNAcentral.